RNAcentral lists this ribosomal RNA (468 nucleotides) under uncultured bacterium. RNAcentral describes it as "partial 16S ribosomal RNA". It matches the Rfam family "Bacterial small subunit ribosomal RNA", at positions 28 to 507 of the family's 1533-position model. The record is from RNAcentral.
GAUGAACGCUGGCGGCGUGCUUAACACAUGCAAGUCGAACGGAAAGGCCCUGCUUUUGUGGGGUGCUCGAGUGGCGAACGGGUGAGUAACACGUGAGUAACCUGCCCUUGACUUUGGGAUAAAUUCAGGAAACUGGGGCUAAUACCGGAUAGGAGCUCCUGCUGCAUGGUGGGGGUUGGAAAGUUUCGGCGGUUGGGGCUGGACUCGCGGCUUAUCAGCUUGUUGGUGGGGUAGUGGCUUACCAAGGCUUUGACGGGUAGCCGGCCUGAGAGGGGGACCGGCCACAAGAGGACUGAGAGACGGCCCAGACGCCUACGGGAGGCAGCAGUGGAGAAUAUUGCGCAAUGGGCGGAAGCCAGAUACAGCAACGCCGCGUGCGGGAUAACGUCCUUCGAGUUGUAAACCGCUUUCGCCUGUGACGAAGCGUGAGUGACGGUAAUGGGUAAAGAAGCACCGGCUAACUACGUG